This 468-nucleotide ribosomal RNA is filed under the name uncultured bacterium. RNAcentral's name for it is "partial 16S ribosomal RNA". It matches the Rfam family "Bacterial small subunit ribosomal RNA", at positions 28 to 507 of the family's 1533-position model. The record is from RNAcentral.
GACGAACGCUGGCGGCGUGCUUAACACAUGCAAGUCGAACGGAAAGGCCCUGCUUUUGUGGGGUGCUCGAGUGGCGAACGGGUGAGUAACACGUGAGUAACCUGCCCUUGACUUUGGGAUAACUUCAGGAAACUGGGGCUAAUACCGGAUAGGAGCUCCUGCUGCAUGGUGGGGGUUGGAAAGUUUCGGCGGUUGGGGAUGGACUCGCGGCUUAUCAGCUUGUUGGUGGGGUAGUGGCUUACCAAGGCUUUGACGGGUAGCUGGCCUGAGAGGGUGACCGGCCACAUUGGGACUGAGAUACGGCCCAGACUCCUACGGGAGGCAGCAGUGGAGAAUAUUGCACAAUGGGCGGAAGCCUGAUGCAGCAACGCCGCGUGCGGGAUGACGGCCUUCGGGUUGUAAACCGCUUUCGCCUGUGACGAAGAGUGAGUGACGGUAAUGGGUAAAGAAGCACCGGCUAACUACGUG